This 490-nucleotide ribosomal RNA is filed under the name uncultured bacterium. Its description in RNAcentral is "partial 16S ribosomal RNA". It matches the Rfam family "Bacterial small subunit ribosomal RNA", at positions 30 to 507 of the family's 1533-position model. The record is from RNAcentral.
AUUGAACGCUGGCGGCAGGCCUAACACAUGCAAGUCGAAUGGUAACAGGAAACAGCUUGCUGUUUCGCUGACGAGUGGCGGACGGGUGAGUAAUGUCUGGGAAACUGCCUGAUGGAGGGGGAUAACUACUGGAAACGGUAGCUAAUACCGCAUAACGUCUCAAGACCAAAGAGGGGGACCUUCGGGCCUCUUGCCAUCAGAUGUGCCCAGAUGGGAUUAGCUAGUAGGUGGGGUAACGGCUCACCUAGGCGACGAUCCCUAGCUGGUCUGAGAGGAUGACCAGCCACACUGGAACUGAGACACGGUCCAGACUCCUACGGGAGGCAGCAGUGGGGAAUAUUGCACAAUGGGCGCAAGCCUGAUGCAGCCAUGCCGCGUGUAUGAAGAAGGCCUUCGGGUUGUAAAGUACUUUCAGCGGGGAGGAAGGGAGUAAAGUUAAUACCUUUGCUAAUUGACGUUACCCGCAGAAGAAGCACCGGCUAACUCCGUG